Molecule: unclassified non-coding RNA, 507 nt
Filed under: uncultured Entrophospora
Lineage: Eukaryota; Fungi; Glomeromycota; Glomeromycetes; Entrophosporales; Entrophosporaceae
Description: SSU rRNA
Rfam family: Eukaryotic small subunit ribosomal RNA
Source: RNAcentral
CCAAUAGCGUAUAUUAAAGUUGUUGCAGUUAAAAAGCUCGUAGUUGAAUUUCGGGAUUGACGUGAUGGUCGUGCCUUAAGGGGUAUGAACUGUUGCUGUUGAUUUCUCACCUUCUGGAGAAACUUGAUGUCCUUUAUUGGGUGUCUUGCGGAUCCAGGACCUUUACCUUGAAAAAAUUAGAGUGUUUAAAGCAGGCAUUUUUGCUCGAAUACAUUAGCAUGGAAUAAUAGAAUAGGACGGCAUGGUUCUAUUUUGUUGGUUUCUAGGAUCACCGUAAUGAUUAAUAGGGAUAGUUGGGGGCAUUAGUAUUCAAUUGUCAGAGGUGAAAUUCUUGGAUUUAUUGAAGACUAACUACUGCGAAAGCAUUUGCCAAGGAUGUUUUCAUUAAUCAAGAACGAAAGUUAGGGGAUCGAAGACGAUCAGAUACCGUCGUAGUCUUAACCAUAAACUAUGCCGACUAGGAAUCAGACGAUGUUAAUUUUUUAAUGACUCGUUUGGCACCUUACG